AGAGUUUGAUCAUGGCUCAGAACGAACGCUGGCGGCAGGCUUAACACAUGCAAGUCGAACGGGUGUAGCAAUACAUCAGUGGCAGACGGGUGAGUAACACGUGGGAACCUUCCUAGAGGUACGGAACAACUCAGGGAAACUUGAGCUAAUACCGUAUACGCUCUUGCGAGGAAAGAUUUAUCGCCUUUAGACGGGCCCGCGUCGGAUUAGCUAGUUGGUGGGGUAACGGCCUACCAAGGCGACGAUCCGUAGCUGAUCUGAGAGGAUGAUCAGCCACACUGGGACUGAGACACGGCCCAGACUCCUACGGGAGGCAGCAGUGGGGAAUCUUGGACAAUGGGCGCAAGCCUGAUCCAGCCAUGCCGCGUGAGUGAAGAAGGCCUUCGGGUUGUAAAGCUCUUUUGCCAGGGACGAUAAUGACGGUACCUGGAGAAUAAGCCCCGGCAAACUUCGUG
RNAcentral lists this ribosomal RNA (455 nucleotides) under uncultured bacterium. Its description in RNAcentral is "bacterial SSU rRNA". It matches the Rfam family "Bacterial small subunit ribosomal RNA", at positions 8 to 507 of the family's 1533-position model. The record is from RNAcentral.